RNAcentral lists this ribosomal RNA (253 nucleotides) under uncultured bacterium. RNAcentral's name for it is "partial 16S ribosomal RNA". It matches the Rfam family "Bacterial small subunit ribosomal RNA", at positions 524 to 776 of the family's 1533-position model. The record is from RNAcentral.
GACGAACCGUGCGAACGUUGUUCGGAAUCACUGGGCUUAAAGGGCGCGUAGGCGGGCUGACAAGUCUGGGGUGAAAUGCCGCGGCCCAACCGUGGAACUGCCUUAGAUACUGUCGGCCUCGAGGAAGGUAGGGGCAUGCGGAACUGUAGGUGGAGCGGUGAAAUGCGUUGAUAUCUACAGGAACUCCGGUGGCGAAAGCGGCGUGCUGGACCUUUUCUGACGCUGAGGCGCGAAAGCUAGGGGAGCAAACGGG